AUGCGUUUGAAAGGCUUUUCUGAAAGACUCGCGUUCAGAUGUGAACUAGCGCUGUGUUUAAAAACGCUGAUAAAAAUCCACGCGGGAAAAGGAGCGGUGAGCAAGUUUUGCAGCACGCUGGGUGCCUUGAGGAUCUCUACCUUAAGCAACGCACAAAUUCAGGUCUCAGAGGUUAGUCUUAUUAUUCUAGGCACUUCUUCAAAUCUUCAGUUGUUUUUUACUUGCUUUUUCUUCAUAAUCAGCAGCUGUGGUUUUUGGACAUCUGCUGGGGAGGUGGUCCAAGGGGGUCUUCUGAUGUCUCUCUGGUGUCCCAUCUUUCUCUUAAAACAUCUUUUUCCAUCAGCAGUUUGUUUAAGCAAGCAUAUAUUUUGUUAGUCAGCAUAUAGUUUGCAAAAGCUUUCUUUCAGUCAUUUCACAACCUAAAGCUAACCUGUCUAAAAAUACCUUCAUAGGCUCUUUCCUCAGUUAUUACAAAACUCAAUGUUAAGAUGUUUCAAAAUGCUUUUGUAGAGCUUUUUAGCUCAUGUUUGUCCUACUUCCCUUUUUUAAGUGAUUACAAAGUUUUCUUCAAACUAAUUUAUAGUUUAUACAAAGGAUAGUUUAAACUACGAGGUAGCUUAAAGCUUGAAAUUUUGUUGUUAGAACAAGCCGCUAGGUAAAAGCAUAUUGUUACAUAAUUACUUUGUUAAACUCUGCCUUCUCCUCGGCGUGUUCCCGUUCCUAUUUCUGCUGCUCGAAUGAUCCCUUCGCUUCUCUCUGCCCAGACCCUCUCCGGUGUGGGCAGGAGGGAGGGGGCUUCCCUCGCUUCACCGUGUUGCUGCUGUCCCCCGGGAGGGCACAGCGCUGUGGUAGGUAAGCACACCAUCAAAACACUGGGGUUUCCUCCGAGGCCACAUUUCCACGUGGCAGUGACUGGGACUCAUUGGUGUGCGACAAGGAACCAAACCCACCUGCAUGCUCUCCGAUUUCUCAGUUUCUGAGCUUCACAGAGAAAUUCCCCCGAAUGGAUUCACCUCCCUCUGAGACCUCUGCGACUCCCCAACAGCUCCCACCUAGUCUCUGCUCCAUCUCCAGUCCCGUCUGCUGGCAUUCAGGGAAUACGAGCAGCUUGUAACAGGAGUGACGAAUGUGGGGUUCUCUACCUUCCUGGUGGGACCAAGUGUACCAAAUUUCUCGCGUUGCCUUUUUAGAAGGCUCUUGUGCCUUGCCCGAGGUGAUGAUUCUGCAUCCCUUGGGGUGCCAGGGGUUUAAACCUGGCGAUUCCUGAGCCCGAGCCUGGGUCUGCCCAAAACUCCGGGGUUACGAGGCCAUCUAGUGAUCUGUGAGCUCGUUACAAUUAAAAUGUACUCUCCAGGGUCGGAAAGCUGCUUGUAAACCAGGAUCUCUUAUUUAAAUGCGUGUGAUCCGCAGUCUCCCGAGAGAAGGUGACCCCUGCGUGCCGGGCUGCAGAGUGACCAGGAUCCAGACAGAAGCUGGUGUCCUCCUGACACACGAAGGAGCCUGGAAUCCACAGACAUGUUAAACUACAGGAAUACUUGCAUGCCUUUUACUCUUCUGAAGCAGGACCCACAUUCAGUCUUUUUAGAAAUGAUCCCUCGAACUGUAUCAACAAUUUGUGGUUUAAGCUCAAGGAAGGGUGUCAUUUCUUGGAGCCCCUAGGGGAAUGGUGAAGUUUCAAAGGUCUUUCCGCAGCUUUUGCUGGUCCUCUCCAAGAUGAGAGAUAUUGAAAACAUUCAUAGCACCCAAAAUGAUGAAUGAAACAUGCAAUAUUUUGUGAAAUAAAAAUUGUGAAUAAAACA
Molecule: long non-coding RNA, 1799 nt
Filed under: Parus major (Great Tit)
Lineage: Eukaryota; Metazoa; Chordata; Aves; Passeriformes; Paridae
Description: lncRNA (ENSPMJG00000008952.1)
Source: RNAcentral